AACAUCUAAGUACCCCGAGGAAAAGAAAUCAACCGAGAUUCCCCCAGUAGCGGCGAGCGAACGGGGAGCAGCCCAGAGCCUGAAUCAGUGUGUGUGUUAGUGGAAGCGUCUGGAAAGGCGCGCGAUACAGGGUGACAGCCCCGUACACAAAAAUGCACAUGCUGUGAGCUCGAUGAGUAGGGCGGGACACGUGGUAUCCUGUCUGAAUAUGGGGGGACCAUCCUCCAAGGCUAAAUACUCCUGACUGACCGAUAGUGAACCAGUACCGUGAGGGAAAGGCGAAAAGAACCCCGGCGAGGGGAGUGAAAAAGAACCUGAAACCGUGUACGUACAAGCAGUGGGAGCACGCUUAGGCGUGUGACUGCGUACCUUUUGUAUAAUGGGUCAGCGACUUAUAUUCUGUAGCAAGGUUAACCGAAUAGGGGAGCCGAAGGGAAACCGAGUCUUAACUGGGCGUUAAGUUGCAGGGUAUAGACCCGAAACCCGGUGAUCUAGCCAUGGGCAGGUUGAAGGUUGGGUAACACUAACUGGAGGACCGAACCGACUAAUGUUGAAAAAUUAGCGGAUGACUUGUGGCUGGGGGUGAAAGGCCAAUCAAACCGGGAGAUAGCUGGUUCUCCCCGAAAGCUAUUUAGGUAGCGCCUCGUGAAUUCAUCUCCGGGGGUAGAGCACUGUUUCGGCAAGGGGGUCAUCCCGACUUACCAACCCGAUGCAAACUGCGAAUACCGGAGAAUGUUAUCACGGGAGACACACGGCGGGUGCUAACGUCCGUCGUGAAGAGGGAAACAACCCAGACCGCCAGCUAAGGUCCCAAAGUCAUGGUUAAGUGGGAAACGAUGUGGGAAGGCCCAGACAGCCAGGAUGUUGGCUUAGAAGCAGCCAUCAUUUAAAGAAAGCGUAAUAGCUCACUGGUCGAGUCGGCCUGCGCGGAAGAUGUAACGGGGCUAAACCAUGCACCGAAGCUGCGGCAGCGACGCUUAUGCGUUGUUGGGUAGGGGAGCGUUCUGUAAGCCUGUGAAGGUGUACUGUGAGGUAUGCUGGAGGUAUCAGAAGUGCGAAUGCUGACAUAAGUAACGAUAAAGCGGGUGAAAAGCCCGCUCGCCGGAAGACCAAGGGUUCCUGUCCAACGUUAAUCGGGGCAGGGUGAGUCGACCCCUAAGGCGAGGCCGAAAGGCGUAGUCGAUGGGAAACAGGUUAAUAUUCCUGUACUUGGUGUUACUGCGAAGGGGGGACGGAGAAGGCUAUGUUGGCCGGGCGACGGUUGUCCCGGUUUAAGCGUGUAGGCUGGUUUUCCAGGCAAAUCCGGAAAAUCAAGGCUGAGGCGUGAUGACGAGGCACUACGGUGCUGAAGCAACAAAUGCCCUGCUUCCAGGAAAAGCCUCUAAGCAUCAGGUAACAUCAAAUCGUACCCCAAACCGACACAGGUGGUCAGGUAGAGAAUACCAAGGCGCUUGAGAGAACUCGGGUGAAGGAACUAGGCAAAAUGGUGCCGUAACUUCGGGAGAAGGCACGCUGAUAUGUAGGUGAAGUCCCUCGCGGAUGGAGCUGAAAUCAGUCGAAGAUACCAGCUGGCUGCAACUGUUUAUUAAAAACACAGCACUGUGCAAACACGAAAGUGGACGUAUACGGUGUGACGCCUGCCCGGUGC
RNAcentral lists this ribosomal RNA (1648 nucleotides) under Escherichia coli. RNAcentral describes it as "partial 23S ribosomal RNA". It matches the Rfam family "Bacterial large subunit ribosomal RNA", at positions 197 to 1869 of the family's 2925-position model. Lineage: Bacteria; Pseudomonadati; Pseudomonadota; Gammaproteobacteria; Enterobacterales; Enterobacteriaceae. The record is from RNAcentral.